AAAGAAUGUCUAUAAAGAUAAUCAACAGAAUUCGAGUCUAGCCUAAAAUCAGUAAUAAUGUCGUCUUGCAUCUGCAAGUUUUUAUGUUUUGUAAUCAGUAAACCCUUUUUAAAACCAGUACAUUUCCAUGUUGUUGGAUAUCAAGUCUAUGGGUAUCAUCUAGGAAAGCCAUUAGGUAACUAAUUAAUGGCAUCAGUCUUCAAUAAUUACAACCAGGUGUAGGCCUAAUUCAGACUUCUUAUAUGAGAAAUAUGUGAAAAAUCAGCCUGCUUUCACAUUUAAGUUUAAUAAAGACCUAACCAGUACUUGUAAGCUAUGCUAAACAACUUGCUGCUUUGAAUAAGGAGGCCUAUCUGAGCCUUUAUUUGCUAUGUGUUCCCCUUUUACCAUUGUAUGUGUUUUUGUUUGUCGCACUAGCCUUU
RNAcentral lists this long non-coding RNA (422 nucleotides) under Nicotiana benthamiana. RNAcentral describes it as "long non-coding RNA (NBEN_LNC015058)". Lineage: Eukaryota; Viridiplantae; Streptophyta; Magnoliopsida; Solanales; Solanaceae. The record is from RNAcentral.